This 870-nucleotide ribosomal RNA is filed under the name Palmaria palmata (dulse). RNAcentral's name for it is "eukaryotic LSU rRNA". It matches the Rfam family "Eukaryotic large subunit ribosomal RNA", at positions 194 to 1145 of the family's 3401-position model. Lineage: Eukaryota; Rhodophyta; Florideophyceae; Palmariales; Palmariaceae. The record is from RNAcentral.
AAUGAAGCGCCAUGGAGGGUGAGAGCCCCGUCCAUCCCGCACAGGAUCCAUUCGUACAAGGACGCUUCAACCGAGUCGGGUAGCUUGGGAAUGCUGCUCUAAUUGGUGGUAAAUCUCAUCAAAGGCUAAAUAGUGGUGGGAGACCGAUAGCGAACAAGUACCGUGAGGGAAAGAUGGAAAGAACUUUGAAAAGAGAGUGAAAAGCACUUGAAACCGUCACGGGGGAAGCGGAUUGCGUGAGUGAUGGUGUCGCUUGUUCAGCGCUUUAUUGCGUGCAUUCUGGCGGCGCCGUGCCGGCGUGGCUGGCUGGACUGUGAUUUUGACAGUCUCGGCUGGUGAGGGCUCCCUCGUAUGAGGUGAGGACGCGGGCAAAAUGACGCAAUACGACCCGUCUUGAAACACGGACCAAGGAGUCUAGCACGGCUGCGAGUCGAAGAGUGAUUAAACUCAAGGGCGCAGUGAAAGCGAAAUUAUAAGCAAAUUGGGGAGGCGUUGCGUUUUUAACAAAAUGUCCUACCUCGAGCAUUUGUGCUGGGACCCGAAAGAUGGUGAACUAUGCCGGAGUAGGGCAAAGCCAGAGGAAACUCUGGUGGAGGCUCGUAGCGAUGCUGACGUGCAAAUCGCUCGUCGAACUUGGGUAUAGGGGCGAAAGACUAAUCGAACCAUCUAGUAGCUGGUUCCCUCCGAAGUUUCUCUCAGGAUAGCGGGCCGACACGCGUUUGUUGUUUUGUGCGGUAAAGCGAAUGAUUAGUGCAUUUGGGGUACGAAGUACUUCGGGCGAUUCUCAAACUUUAAAUGCGCAAGGGGGUGGCUGCUUAAUUGAGCCUACUCUUUGAAAAACGUCGGCCCUGUGGGCCACUUUUGGUAAGC